UGCUAAGAACUGUUCUAAAAUAUAUCAAUCGAUUGUAUCCUGAUAAUAUCGAGCGAUCGAUCGUCUAUAGAAUCGGUCUCUUUAACGCUGAUGAGCCACCUCAUAAGAUUCACUUUUCAGAGAGGCACAUUUCAGUCAGAAUGCAAUUUCUUUUAUUAUCUUCCAAUUGAGAAGUAUCAAAAACUCAAAGAAAAGCGUUUGAUAGUGUUCAAAGUCCCAAAAUUCAGUUAGAUACGGGCAAAGACAUGAUCAGAAAAGAUAAUUCGUGGAAAGGGACAGAAAGAAGUAGAGGACACCAAGAUUAAGUUGGAGACUUCUAAAUUAAGUAAAUUAGACUAAGAAGAGCUACGAUUACGAACGAAGGAAUUAAGUCAAUGAGAGCUUAGUAUUUAGGAUCUGCGUGCUUAUGACCCAGCUCUAGCCUUCUUGAAUUGAUUAAUUUGUGAAGUAUAAAUAAUAUGCUCUGCGAUCCUUAGGCCUCUCCUUGUCAUGUGAUGUGAUAGAAGAAAAGAUAUUCUAGUAUUUUCCUGAGAUUUGGCGAGUGUGCGGGGCCCUUAUCAUACCAAGCCGUAACGUCUGUAAAAACUGUGCGCGCGCGCAGUGAUGAGCAGACAGAGAUGUACAUACAGUGACAAAAUGAAGUGCACUCAAAACAAACGGAAAAGUUCAACGUUAAAUCUUCAAGUGUGCGUGAUAGCAACUCUGACUCACUCACACGGACGCACAUCAUGUAAGCGCUUACAGUGGAUAAUAACGUCAUCGAGGGAAGAAGCUUUAAACAUCAUAAGUUGGGGAUUUAUGAUACUGAUAAUCAUUUGGGAGUGGUAUAACUUUCAAUUUUUGAUUUAAUACUUCUCCAUCCGAGGUCCCUCAUGAGAGCACCCAUCUGGUGAGAAUACUGUUCAGCAGGCUACUGGUUUGGUUAAAGCAACGACUUGAUGAGGAAGCUAAUAAAGGCGUUCGAUCAUGAAAAAUGCCUUCCAACAGAAAGGUAGGCAAAACAGACUACCGCGAUGUGCGAAUAGUUAUCUAAUCGCAACUAAACUCCCCCAGUUCGAAAAAUGACUGGUGAUCAAAUUCAACUGAAUCGAUUUUAGAAAAGUUCCUCGUACUCUAGGCACAAUAAAAUGAAAAUCAUCAAAAAUUAUAGAAUGGGCUUUGGGCUAGUCGCUUAUCAAAAAGAGGCUUUAUAGGUCGUCUUGUUGGUGAGCGCUGUUCCCCUGAUGAAUCACUGCUGCAGCACUGGCACUCAGGUGGUCUGAACCGUUGUUCGGUUGAAAAAAAAAGGUCAACAUAAAAAGCUCACUGAACGCGUGAAAACAACUUUAUAUGUUACUACCCCUCAUGCACCGCCUGAAAAAGUUCCUAAGAAGCGAGAACUUCGCGAGUUCACAGCUAAUUUGGGACCCAAAUAUCGUGAUACUUUUGUUUACAAAAACAGGACGCAUACAGGACUUAAACAAGUCGAGCCCGACAUUUUUCUGCACCCACUUUCAUUUGAAUUAGGUUUUCCGUCAGUUUGAAGUAGACAUUUCUUAUAAUUUGAAGACUGUUUAACUACAAGCCGCAGUUUAGACGUAACCGCAGCCGAAUAUUUUAUUGAAAUUUUAAAUAGAGUUUUCUAUCAAACACUUAAAAAUUAAUUUCGACCCAACUUCAGGGAAAUCGUUCCUUUUUACCAAAAAUCCCCUUGAUGAACUAAAGUCCUUUUCUCCAUAAACAAUCACGAAUUAAUAAGUCAAACUUGAAGCCUAGCACCUACAAAAAAUGGGAAAAUAAGUUUUUCACGGCAACUUCUUCUUUGAGAGGACAUGGGCGCAUUGUCUGCGUGAAUAUUACGCAACCAAAAAUUAAAUGUUUCCUGAAAUAGAGCCCACCAUCUCAGCUCAUUCCUGUCUAUACGAUACAAAUUCAAGAACUCUACUUUUUUUUUCAUAUGCGAUGUAAACUAAACAGACUUUACAAAAUUAGUCAUGAAUUGCACCACAUACCUACUUUGAGGAACCUGAAUCAAUUUUUUUCCUCUUUAAAAAAAAUAAAAAAAACACCUUUUUAGGUACCUGAUUUCAUGCGAGAACCUGAUGAGUUUCAAAACUAAAUCUGUUCAAAGAUUCAAUGCAAAUUCAGCAAAACUGGAAAAAUUGAUAUUUACUCUUCUCACACGAUCUCAUUUUUUACUCAUCUCACACUCACAUCUUCCACACAACUGAAAACAACACGAAGACAACUCACCAACUAUGAGCAUGGGGGCAUGCUCGGCAAAACUAUCGUAUCCUGACACUCACAGGGCACAACACAUCACUACGUAGCACGCCGAGUUUGAGGUUAGGGAGCACUCGCAGAGAUCACAACGCGCCGCGUCCCCUCGCACUGUUAGACUAAAAACUAAUCAACGACCUCGACCCAGUGGAAAAGAGUUCGAACUUCGAAGUCUUAAGUCCCGGGCUCGAGCGAGUAGCAGCGUCCUGACUCAGUCGGUGCUGUUCCCGAGCGCGACUUCUUAUCACUGCUAUUGUUCUAAUUAAAACCGUGAUAACAAACAGCGCGGGAGACGGCCCACGGGGAAGGGGAGACAGGGGGUACGGUGCACGGGAAUGCAGCAGUUUCUUUGGCCCGCUGCGAGUAGAGCGGGGAGCGGAGAGGGGUGGUUCAAAAACGCGCUAGGAUUUUUUGCGGGGCUGCCAGUGUAACGGGAAAUACUGAUUGAGUACCUUUGCUCACGUAUGGGGCAGUCCGUAAUUUAUCUAGUUACGCAUUCUUAUUUUUAGUAAGGCGUGUUAUCGCCACCCCCCCCAUCUUCCCUCUUGUUUCUAAAAAAUUGAGUCAAUUUAAAAAACUUGACACUUCCAAA
This 2851-nucleotide long non-coding RNA is filed under the name Bemisia tabaci. RNAcentral describes it as "lncRNA ENSSSA1UGG009207". The record is from RNAcentral. Lineage: Eukaryota; Metazoa; Arthropoda; Insecta; Hemiptera; Aleyrodidae.